RNAcentral lists this non-coding RNA (212 nucleotides) under Shewanella hanedai. RNAcentral's name for it is "Lysine riboswitch". It matches the Rfam family "Lysine riboswitch aptamer". From Rfam's summary of the family: Riboswitches are metabolite binding domains within certain messenger RNAs that serve as precision sensors for their corresponding targets. Lineage: Bacteria; Pseudomonadati; Pseudomonadota; Gammaproteobacteria; Alteromonadales; Shewanellaceae. The record is from RNAcentral.
GAAGUAGAGGUGCAUUAAAUAUCAGUAGUGAUAGCCAGGGUGAUUCCGCUUAUCUAUCAUGAAAGGAUUUGAUGCCGAAGUAGUAAAUGCACAUCACGGCUUACUGCUGGGGCUGCCAUCGAAUAGGUGCAGCACUGCCAUAGUAUUUCUUAUCUUGACGAUAAGAAGAUUUAUACCUUUUAACAUAUGGUAUUACUAUGGAGCGCUACUGA